CUCCCUCCCUUCUCCGUGAAUCUCCUUCUUCUUCCCCCAUCUUCUCGUUUUCCAGGCCACUAAUGUUUGUCUGCGUGGAAGGCAUUCUCAUCUUCGGGCCUCGAGUAAGAUAUUUCAAAGCAACACGAUGGUGGCCGGACAUCACCAAAUCGCCUCAGAACUGUCCUCAAGAUCAUUAUCCAAUCAAGCUUAAAGCAAUGGGGAUGUAGCUCAGAUGAUAGAGCGCUCGUUUAGCAUGCGAGCAAUGGAGAUGUAGCUCAGAUGAUAGAGCGCUCGCUCUUGCAUCUCCAGAUAUUUUCCUAAAUCUUUUUGUCGACGACCGUUCCUCCCUCCUCCGUGGAUCUCCUUCCUGUCUAGCCUUCUCCCAUAUCUUCCCGUUUCUAGGCCACCGAUGUGUUUGGUUGCGUGGAAGGCAUUCUCAUCUUCCACUGGGGCCUCGAGUAAGAGAUUUGUAGCAGCACGAUGAUGGGCGGGCAUCACCAAACCGCCUCGGAAGUGUCCUCAAGGUUGUUGUUCGAGCAAGCUUAAAGUAAUGGGGAUGUAGCUCAGAUGGUAGAGCGCUCGCUUAGCAUGCGAGAGGCACGGGGAUCGAUAAAUGUUUUGUUGGCAUAGAUCUUUUUGCCAGCGGUCGCUACUCCCUCCCCCCUCCGUGAAUCUCCUUCUUCUUCCCCAUAUCUUCCCGUUUUCCAGGACACUGAUACGAGAAUCGAUACCCUGCAUCUCCAGAUAUUUUCCUAAAAUCGUUUUACCGGGGGGCGUUCCCCCUUCCUCCUCCGUGGAUCUCCUUCCUGUCUAGCCUUCCCCCAUAUCUUCCCGUUUCCAGGCCACCAAUGUGUUUGGCUGGGUGGAAGGCAUUCUCAUCUUCCGCUGGGGCCUCGAGUAAGAGAUUUCGUAGCAGUGCGAUGAUGGGCGAGCAUCACCAAAUCGCCCCAGAAGUGUCCUCAAGGUCACUGUUCAACCAAGCUUGAAGUAAUGGUGAUGUAGCUCAGAUGGUAAAGUGAUGUUCAACCAAGCUUGAAGUAAUGGGGAUGCAGCUCAGAUGGUAGAGCGGCGAGAGGUACGGGGAUCGAUAAUCCGCAUCUCCAGUUUUUGGCGUAAAUCUUUUUGUCGGCGGUCGUUCCUCCUCCCUCUUCUGUGGAUCUCCUUCCUUUUCCGUCCUGUCUAGCCUUCCCCCAUAUAUUUCCGUUUCCAGGCCACCGAUGUUUGGUUGCGUGAAAGGCAUUCUCAUCCUCCGCUGGGGCCUCGAGUUGGAGAUUUCGAAGCAGCGCGAUGAUGGACGGGCAUCACCAAAUCGCCUCGGAACUGUCCUCAAGGCCGCCGUUCAAUCAAGCUUGAAGCAAGAUUGGUACUAGCUACUCGUUCUCCCAAAUUAGGACGGUCCUCAAGGCCGAUAGUCACAAUCCAGCUUGAAGCAUAAUCGGUUGAGAUCCAUGGACUGGUGAAGAUAUUCAUCGAUAGCUAUAAUGCACAGACAAUUGCUACGAUAUACUUCUCGUCAAGGCAGUUACUGCAUUAAAUUGUUCCUCUUGUCAAACAUAUAAUUUCUGUGAUUUAUGCAUUCGAUGGCUCUAUGGGGGGAAGAAAGCCUACAGAUGCAUAUCGCCCUCAUCAAUGAUAACUAUCUGCAUAACAAGUGUUGACUGGAAGAAGUAUGGAAAAGGACAUAGGAGAACAAAGAGAAAAAGUACGAGGAUGAAAUAAGUUAGAUUUCUCAAAUAUUUGAUUUAUUGGUCUGAUGUUUUUAUUCAUCUACUUACAUUAAUCAAAAAUGAUAAGACAGUUUAUGCUGGUGUUAUCUCAAAUUGCUUCACUAUGAUUAAAACAGACUACAUGGCGUUUUAGGAGAGCCGAAAGUUAAUUGGAGAGUGGUUAUACAU
Long non-coding RNA from Zingiber officinale, 1877 nucleotides. RefSeq lists it as uncharacterized. The transcript is spliced from 3 exons. NCBI's taxonomy places the organism in Eukaryota, Viridiplantae, Streptophyta, Magnoliopsida, Zingiberales, Zingiberaceae. The record is from RefSeq and is a predicted model, not a curated record.